CUACGUAGAGGGCGAGCGUUGUCCGGAAUGAUUGGGCGUAAAGGGCGCGUAGGCGGCCCGGUAAGUCUGGAGUGAAAGUCCUGUUUUUAAGAUGGGAAUUGCUUUGGAUACUGUCGGGCUUGAGUGCAGGAGAGGUAAGUGGAAUUCCCAGUGUAGCGGUGAAAUGCGUAGAGAUUGGGAGGAACACCAGUGGCGAAGGCGACUUACUGGACUGUAACUGACGCUGAGGCGCGAAAGUGUGGGGAGCAAACAGGAUUAGAUACCCUGGUAGUCCACACUGUAAACGAUGAAUGCUAGGUGUAGGGGGUAUCGACCCCUUCUGUGCCGCAGUCAACACAAUAAGCAUUCCGCCUGGGGAGUACGGCCGCAAGGUUGAAACUCAAAUGAAUUGACGGGG
RNAcentral lists this ribosomal RNA (397 nucleotides) under uncultured bacterium. RNAcentral's name for it is "partial 16S ribosomal RNA". It matches the Rfam family "Bacterial small subunit ribosomal RNA", at positions 523 to 918 of the family's 1533-position model. The record is from RNAcentral.